CAGAUAGAUCAUGUCUCAAUCUUUUUGUUAACUAAAUGUCUUUAGCAUAUAGCCAAUUUUUAUGGCUAAAUAUGACAACCUUCUAAGCAUUCUAGUAUGAAUUAGUUCAUUCAAGAGCAUAAUUCUGAUUGGGUGGUGAUGAAGGCUCUCCAACGACGGUUUGUAUACUACUGUCAGAUGCUAUUCCAGCUGAUGUGGGCUUAAUGUUGUAUGCAAAUAAAGUGUACCUUAUGUUAGACUUUGGUUCCGUCAACUUGGCCGCUGAUUUCGCAC
RNAcentral lists this long non-coding RNA (273 nucleotides) under Elaeis guineensis (African oil palm). RNAcentral's name for it is "long non-coding RNA (EGUI_LNC016137)". Lineage: Eukaryota; Viridiplantae; Streptophyta; Magnoliopsida; Arecales; Arecaceae. The record is from RNAcentral.